CAAUAUGGAUCAUUUUGGGGGUUGCUCUAUUAUGAUUGAUGUAUAGUUGGCAUAUUGAGAGGUGAAGCCAAGUAGACAUGGUUGUACAAAAAGGCAUAGGUCAUUCUAUUAACAACGUCACUACUGCUCUUGAUGAAGGACACCCACAAACAAUUCAAAAUAUAUCAUCAAAAGAAUUUUGAGAUUGAGCAUCUAGAAAGUGAGUUACAACCAUCCUUUUGCACUUGGAAGAAAAAUGAUGUAAAACUAGAUGUAGUGAAGGUUAUGAAGAAUUCAAAG
Molecule: long non-coding RNA, 279 nt
Organism: Vitis vinifera (wine grape)
Lineage: Eukaryota; Viridiplantae; Streptophyta; Magnoliopsida; Vitales; Vitaceae
Exons: 3
Source: RefSeq, a predicted model, not a curated record